RNAcentral lists this ribosomal RNA (164 nucleotides) under uncultured bacterium. RNAcentral describes it as "partial 16S rRNA". It matches the Rfam family "Bacterial small subunit ribosomal RNA", at positions 355 to 511 of the family's 1533-position model. The record is from RNAcentral.
UAGGGAAUCUUCCACAAUGGGCGCAAGCCUGAUGGAGCAACACCGCGUGAGUGAAGAAGGGUUUCGGCUCGUAAAGCUCUGUUGUUAAAGAAGAACACGUAUGAGAGUAACUGUUCAUACGUUGACGGUAUCUAACCAGAAAGUCACGGCUAACUACGUACCAG